Lolium rigidum is the source of this 240-nucleotide long non-coding RNA. RefSeq lists it as uncharacterized. The transcript has 4 exons. NCBI's taxonomy places the organism in Eukaryota, Viridiplantae, Streptophyta, Magnoliopsida, Poales, Poaceae. The record is from RefSeq and is a predicted model, not a curated record.
AUGAAACAGUCAGAGAGACUCUGAAGGAAAGAAUUCCAUCAACAGAUCUGUUGGCAAUUCUACGAGGCUUAUGGGAGGACGCAACUUCCAUCGACGAAGUUAUACCAGAGGCAGUGCUGCCAGCUUUUUCCUUGGAGACUACCCGAGACAUUAUUAAGCAACACAUAGCAACUGCCUUUCUUCAUCUUCAAACUGAAAUAUCAGAUGUACUGGUCACACACUCAACAUCAAAUGAGAAGU